AGAGUUUGAUCCUGGCUCAGGAUGAACGCUAGCGGCAGGCUUAACACAUGCAAGUCGAGGGGCAACAGGUCACUUCGGUGAUGCUGGCGACCGGCGCACGGGUGAGUAACGCGUAUGGAACCUACCUACGACAGGGGUAUAGCCUUCGGAAACGAGGGUUAAUCCCCCAUACUAUCAUAGUGUGGCAUCACAUUGUGAUAAAAGCUCAGGCGGUUGUAGAUGGACAUGCGUACCAUUAGUUAGUUGGUGAGGUAAAGGCUCACCAAGGCGAUGAUGGUUAGGGGUCCUGAGAGGGCAGUCCCCCACACUGGUACUGAGACACGGACCAGACUCCUACGGGAGGCAGCAGUGAGGAAUAUUGGUCAAUGGGCGCUAGCCUGAACCAGCCAUGCCGCGUGCAGGAUGACUGCCCUACGGGUUGUAAACUGCUUUUCUACAGGAAAAAACUUCCCGACGUGUCGGGGACUGAUGGUACUGUAGGAAUAAGCAUCGGCUAACUCCGUGCCAGCAGCCGCGGUAAUACGGAGGAUGCAAGCGUUAUCCGGAUUCAUUGGGUUUAAAGGGUGCGUAGGCGGAUUUGUAAGUCAGUGGUGAAAUCUCCCGGCUCAACCGGGAAACUGCCAUUGAUACUGCAAAUCUUGAGUAUAGUUGUAGUGGGUGGAAUAUGGUAUGUAGCGGUGAAAUGCAUAGAUAUACCAUAGAACACCAAUCGCGAAGGCAGCUCACUAAGCUAUCACUGACGCUCAGGCACGAAAGCGUGGGGAGCAAACAGGAUUAGAUACCCUGGUAGUCCACGCUGUAAACGAUGAUCACUCGCUGUUGGCGAUACACUGUCAGCGGCUGAGCGAAAGCAUUAAGUGAUCCACCUGGGGAUUACGGCCGCAAGGUUGAAACUCAAAGGAAUUGACGGGGGCCCGCACAAGCGGUGGAGCAUGUGGUUUAAUUCGAUGAUACGCGAGGAACCUUACCUGGGCUUAAAUGCAGGACGACCGUUCCCGAAAGGGGACUUCCUUCGGACGGCCUGCAAGGUGCUGCAUGGUUGUCGUCAGCUCGUGCCGUGAGGUGUCGGGUUAAGUCCCAUAACGAGCGCAACCCCUAUUCUUAGUUGCCAUCAGGUAAUGCUGGGGACUCUAAGAAAACUGCCUACGCAAGUAGUGAGGAAGGUGGGGAUGACGUCAAAUCAGCACGGCCCUUAUGUCCAGGGCUACACACGUGCUACAAUGGCCGGAACAAAGGGUAGCUACUUCGUGAGUAGAUGCCAAUCUCGAAAUCCGGUCUCAGUUCGGAUCGAAGUCUGCAACUCGACUUCGUGAAGUUGGAAUCGCUAGUAAUCGCGCAUCAGCCACGGCGCGGUGAAUACGUUCCCGGGCCUUGUACACACCGCCCGUCAAGCCAUGGAAGCUUGGGGUACCUGAAGUCCGUAACCGCAAGGAGCGGCCUAGGGUAAAACAAGUAACUGGGGCUAAGUCGUAACAAGGUAACC
RNAcentral lists this ribosomal RNA (1483 nucleotides) under uncultured organism. RNAcentral's name for it is "bacterial SSU rRNA". It matches the Rfam family "Bacterial small subunit ribosomal RNA". The record is from RNAcentral.